This 465-nucleotide ribosomal RNA is filed under the name Vreelandella stevensii. RNAcentral describes it as "partial 16S ribosomal RNA". It matches the Rfam family "Bacterial small subunit ribosomal RNA", at positions 338 to 795 of the family's 1533-position model. Lineage: Bacteria; Pseudomonadati; Pseudomonadota; Gammaproteobacteria; Oceanospirillales; Halomonadaceae. The record is from RNAcentral.
CCUACGGGGGGCAGCAGUGGGGAAUAUUGGACAAUGGGGGGAACCCUGAUCCAGCCAUGCCGCGUGUGUGAAGAAGGCCCUCGGGUUGUAAAGCACUUUCAGUGAGGAAGAACGCCUGGUGGUUAAUACCCAUCAGGAAAGACAUCACUCACAGAAGAAGCACCGGCUAACUCCGUGCCAGCAGCCGCGGUAAUACGGAGGGUGCGAGCGUUAAUCGGAAUUACUGGGAGUAAAGCGCGCGUAGGUGGCUUGAUAAGCCGGUUGUGAAAGCCCCGGGCUCAACCUGGGAACGGCAUCCGGAACUGUCAAGCUAGAGUGCAGGAGAGGAAGGUAGAAUUCCCGGUGUAGCGGUGAAAUGCGUAGAGAUCGGGAGGAAUACCAGUGGCGAAGGCGGCCUUCUGGACUGACACUGACACUGAGGUGCGAAAGCGUGGGUAGCAAACAGGAUUAGAUACCCUGGUAGUC